CCAUCCUGUGACCCUGGCAACCAAAAAAGUAAAGACAACUGGGGAGUCAUGUGCCUGCACUUGGCUGCAGGACAGAGGCAGUCAUGCAGCCGAAGCUGCUUCUGGGCCCCAAUCCCUUUAUGUACUUUCCUGAGAAAACAGAAUAGGCUCCAGUGUUUCCCCAUUACCACUCAGAAUAGGGUACAUGACCCCAGUGCCUGACUUGGGACCAGAUGCCUCUUCCUCAGAUGAUCCCAAGUUCCAGUUGCUGGGAGAGCACCUGCAUGAGACCAUGUAUGGAUAUCUACUCAGCCUAGCAGAGCACAACCCAUCCAAUGUGGACUAUCUUAUGCUGUGACCCCACAGGGCAUGAGGAGCUCGAUGUAUAGAACACUGACUGGAACACUGGACAAUUGCUGAGGAGACAACCUUCCUGUAGGAAAAGUUGCUGACACAAAUGUGCAAAGGUGUAUGUGCAAGAAUGGUCACUGCAGCACUCUUUGUGAUGAUGAAAAACUGGAAACAAUUUAAAUGUCCAUCGGUGGAAAGCUGGCAUAUCAAUACAAUUCAGAAUGAGGUAAAUUUGAAUUUACCCACAUGAAAAGGAUGUUCACAAAGACAGUAAGUUG
This is a long non-coding RNA of Cebus imitator (Panamanian white-faced capuchin), 608 nucleotides long. RefSeq lists it as uncharacterized. The transcript is spliced from 2 exons. The record is from RefSeq and is a predicted model, not a curated record. Lineage: Eukaryota; Metazoa; Chordata; Mammalia; Primates; Cebidae.